Molecule: ribosomal RNA, 253 nt
Filed under: uncultured bacterium
Lineage: Bacteria
Description: partial 16S ribosomal RNA
Rfam family: Bacterial small subunit ribosomal RNA
Source: RNAcentral
UACGAAGGGGGCUAGCGUUGUUCGGAAUUACUGGGCGUAAAGCGCACGUAGGCGGACUAUUAAGUCAGGGGUGAAAUCCCGGGGCUCAACCCCGGAACUGCCUUUGAUACUGGUAGUCUCGAGUCCGGAAGAGGUGAGUGGAAUUCCGAGUGUAGAGGUGAAAUUCGUAGAUAUUCGGAGGAACACCAGUGGCGAUGGCGGCUCACUGGUCCGGUACUGACGCUGAGGUGCGAAAGCGUGGGGAGCAAACAGG